This 398-nucleotide ribosomal RNA is filed under the name uncultured bacterium. RNAcentral's name for it is "partial 16S ribosomal RNA". It matches the Rfam family "Bacterial small subunit ribosomal RNA", at positions 523 to 918 of the family's 1533-position model. The record is from RNAcentral.
CUACGUAGGGCGCGAGCGUUGUCCGGAAUUAUUGGGCGUAAAGAGCUUGUAGGCGGUCUGUUGCGUCGGAAGUGAAAACUCAGGGCUUAACCCUGAGCCUGCUUUCGAUACGGGCAGACUUGAGGGAUGUAGGGGAGAACGGAAUUACUGGUGGCGCGGUGGAAUGCGCAGAUAUCAGGAGGAACACCAGUGGCGAAGGCGGUUCUCUGGACAUUUCCUGACGCUGAGAAGCGAAAGCGUGGGGAGCAAACAGGCUUAGAUACCCUGGUAGUCCACGCCGUAAACGGUGGGCACUAGGUGUGGGACCCAUUCCACGGGUUCCGUGCCGAAGCUAACGCAUUAAGUGCCCCGCCUGGGGAGUACGGCCGCAAGGCUAAAACUUAAAGGAAUUGACGGGG